AACGUAGGGGGCGAGCGUUGUCCGGAAUUACUGGGCGUAAAGGGCAUGCAGGCGGUGCGCCAAGUCGGGGGUGUAAAGUUACGGCUCAACCGUGACCUUGCAAUCGAAACUGGCGCACUGGAGUGCGGGAGAGGGAAGUGGAAUUCCCGGUGUAGCGGUGAAAUGCGUAGAUAUCGGGAGGAACGCCAGUGGCGAAGGCGGCUUCCUGGCCCGCGACUGACGCUCAUGUGCGAAAGCCAGGGGAGCGAACCGGAUUAGAUACC
Molecule: ribosomal RNA, 263 nt
Filed under: uncultured bacterium
Lineage: Bacteria
Description: partial 16S ribosomal RNA
Rfam family: Bacterial small subunit ribosomal RNA
Source: RNAcentral